This 1279-nucleotide long non-coding RNA is filed under the name Pongo abelii (Sumatran orangutan). RNAcentral describes it as "lincRNA". The record is from RNAcentral. Lineage: Eukaryota; Metazoa; Chordata; Mammalia; Primates; Hominidae.
AAGGAAAUGAUAUUCUGAGACAAAAAGCCAACUCUAAACCUUGGGAGAUGGUGACAGUUACAAAAUGCAGGCCUGUGAAGAAAGUGUGUCCAUAAAAUCCUGACACCAUCUUCUUUCUCAUCAGAUUGGUAGAGAGAGUUUAGAAGCUCAAAACCACCAUCAUCCUUUCACUGUUCCUUUCUGAGUGUCUUCUCAGUAAGUGGAAGCUCCUUUUCUCACCUUGAGCUUAACAUAAAAUCUUUUUGAAAGUGAUGAUUUUUUUGUUGUUGUUAGUGGUAGUUAUGGAUUUGCCAUAAGAAUACAGCAAUUGCUAAUAUAUUGCCAUCGAUACAAUUAAUACAAAUAAUAAUAUAGGAUGACAAUAUAGCAUAUAACUAACAGUGUGAACCUUGGAUUCAGAAAAGCUUGGCUUUGAAUCCUUGUCCAUUAUUACUAGCUGUGUGCAAAUUAUUGAAACCCUCUCAGCCUCAAUUUUGCAUCCAUAAAAUGGGAUCAUAAUAAUGAUUAUUCAAAUUCAACUUAAAGGGAAGUCUGAAUUAGAUGUGAAAAUGUAUGUAUAAAUCACACAAGUACUCAGUAAAUAGUCACUAUUAACAUUGUCAUAAAUUCGUAGCUGUUGUUUCAUAGUCACAGUGAGAUGAUAAGGAAAAAUCCCUAUAUUCAAACUAGAAUUGAUUUCUAGCUCAAUAUUCUGAACAAAUGUGUUUUAUACAUUCUAUCAAAAUCCCAAAUCAGUUGUAUGUUUUUAAUUUGUUUGUAAAUAUUUGUCAUGUUGUCAUUUUAAGAGAAUUUAAAAGGAAAAAUACUGUCUUGACUAAUAUCAAGAAUUCCACUUACAAGCAUGUUUUCCUUUUAGCACCACCUCUUGUCGCAUAUGGGUCCAAUGCCCUGAUUUUCAAAAUGUGGUGGGAAACUAGUGAACUGGUGUCAAUGAAUAUCUCGUAGUUUGUCCUGUUCUCAUUCAACUUGUAAGUUCACUGGAUACAUGCAUGAGUAUUUUAAUUGUCCAGAAAGGCAGUUAUUGAUCUGGGUCACAUCUCCACAAGAUUUUAUAGAGAUAGGUUCCAAUAAAGUAGUCCUAAGGCUUAAAUAUCAGAGGCAUAAAGGGAAGAAGACAUUUUGCCACAUGCUGUAAAAACAAAUAUCUUGAUCAUGCAGACUCCAUAUCUUAGGAUAUUGUUAAUUUACAUUCCACAUCUUAGAACACUUAGACUCCACCACCUACUAUGGCAGGCAGAAAAGGUUCAUAACAAUAAAAAGGAUUCCUAAAGAUGUGCAA